UGACUGCGUACCUUUUGUAUAAUGGGUCAGCGACUUAUAUUCUGUAGCAAGGUUAACCGAAUAGGGGAGCCGGAGGGAAACCGAGUCUUAAUUGGGCGUUAAGUUGCAGGGUAUAGACCCGAAACCCGGUGAUCUAGCCAUGGGCAGGUUGAAGGUUGGGUAACACUAACUGGAGGACCGAACCGACUAAUGUUGAAAAAUUAGCGGAUGACCUGUGGCUGGGGGUGAAAGGCCAAUCAAACCGGGAGAUAGCUGGUUCUCCCCGAAAGCUAUUUAGGUAGCGCCUCGUGAAUUCAUCUCCGGGGGUAGAGCACUGUUUCGGCUAGGGGGCCAUCCCGGCUUACCAACCCGAUGCAAACUGCGAAUACCGGAGAAUGUUAUCACGGGAGACACACGGCGGGUGCUAACGUCCGUCGUGAAGAGGGAAACAACCCAGACCGCCAGCUAAGGUCCCAAAGUCAUGGUUAAGUGGGAAACGAUGUGGGAAGGCCCAGACAGCCAGGAUGUUGGCUUAGAAGCAGCCAUCAUUUAAAGAAAGCGUAAUAGCUCACUGGUCGAGUCGGCCUGCGCGGAAGAUGUAACGGGGCUAAACCAUGCACCGAAGCUGCGGCAGCGAACGUAUCACUUAAAGCGAUUCAGCGGGUUACGAUUGACGGAGCGAAGCGACGUCAAAGCGUAUACAAAGUCGAGUCGGUUUAAGGAUACGUUCGUUGGGUAGGGGAGCGUUCUGUAAGCCUGUGAAGGUGGCCUGUGAGGGUUGCUGGAGGUAUCAGAAGUGCGAAUGCUGACAUAAGUAACGAUAAAGCGGGUGAAAAGCCCGCUCGCCGGAAGACCAAGGGUUCCUGUCCAACGUUAAUCGGGGCAGGGUGAGUCGACCCCUAAGGCGAGGCCGAAAGGCGUAGUCGAUGGGAAACGGGUUAAUAUUCCCGUACUUGGUGUUACUGCGAAGGGGGGACGGAGAAGGCUAUGUUGGCCGGGCGACGGUUGUCCCGGUUUAAGCGUGUAGGUGUGUGUUCCAGGUAAAUCCGGUUCACUUUAACACUGAGGCGUGACGACGAGGCACUACGGUGCUGAAGCAACAAAUGCCCUGCUUCCAGGAAAAGCCUCUAAGCAUCAGGUAACAUCAAAUCGUACCCCAAACCGACACAGGUGGUCAGGUAGAGAAUACCAAGGCGCUUGAGAGAACUCGGGUGAAGGAACUAGGCAAAAUGGUGCCGUAACUUCGGGAGAAGGCACGCUGACAC
This 1244-nucleotide ribosomal RNA is filed under the name Salmonella enterica subsp. enterica serovar Corvallis. RNAcentral describes it as "partial 23S ribosomal RNA". It matches the Rfam family "Bacterial large subunit ribosomal RNA", at positions 594 to 1757 of the family's 2925-position model. The record is from RNAcentral. Lineage: Bacteria; Pseudomonadati; Pseudomonadota; Gammaproteobacteria; Enterobacterales; Enterobacteriaceae.